UACAGAGGUCCCGAGCGUUGUUCGGAUUUAUUGGGCGUAAAGGGUGCGUAGGCGGCGGAGUAAGUUGGGUGUGAAAUCCCGGGGCUUAACCUCGGAAUUGCAUUCAAUACUGCUUCGCUUGAGUACUGGAGAGGAGGCUGGAAUUACGGUGUAGCAGUGAAAUGCGUAGAUAUCGUAAGGAAGCCGGUGGCGAAAGCGAGCCUCUGGACAGUUACUGACGCUGAUGCA
This 228-nucleotide ribosomal RNA is filed under the name uncultured bacterium. RNAcentral describes it as "partial 16S ribosomal RNA". It matches the Rfam family "Bacterial small subunit ribosomal RNA", at positions 524 to 753 of the family's 1533-position model. The record is from RNAcentral.